This 447-nucleotide ribosomal RNA is filed under the name uncultured bacterium. RNAcentral's name for it is "bacterial SSU rRNA". It matches the Rfam family "Bacterial small subunit ribosomal RNA", at positions 355 to 825 of the family's 1533-position model. The record is from RNAcentral.
UGGGGAAUCUUGGACAAUGGGGGAAACCCUGAUCCAGCCAUGCCGCGUGAGUGAUGAAGGCCCUAGGGUUGUAAAACUCUUUCGGCGGGGACGAUAAUGACGGUACCCGCAGAAGAAGCUCCGGCUAACUUCGUGCCAGCAGCCGCGGUAAUACGAAGGGGGCUAGCGUUGUUCGGAAUUACUGGGCGUAAAGCGCGCGCAGGCGGUCCUUCAAGUCAGAGGUGAAAGCCCAGAGCUCAACUCUGGAACGGCCUUUGAGACUAGAGGACUAGGGUACGGGAGAGGUGAGUGGAAUUCCGAGUGUAGAGGUGAAAUUCGUAGAUAUUCGGAAGAACACCAGUGGCGAAGGCGGCUCACUGGCCCGUUACCGACGCUCAGGCGCGACAGCGUGGGGAGCAAACAGGAUUAGAUACCCCAGUAGUCCCUGAGCGGGCUGGCAAGGCGCAU